GUAGGUGGCAAGCGUUGUCCGGAAUUAUUGGGCGUAAAGCGCGCGCAGGCGGUCCUUUAAGUCUGAUGUGAAAGCCCACGGCUCAACCGUGGAGGGUCAUUGGAAACUGGGGGACUUGAGUACAGAAGAGGAGAGCGGAAUUCCAAGUGUAGCGGUGAAAUGCGUAGAGAUUUGGAGGAGCACCAGUGGCGAAGGCGGCUUUCUGGUCUGUAACUGACGCUGAGGCGCGAAAGCGUGGGGAGCAAACAGGGAUUAGAUACCCUGGUAGUCCACGCCGUAAACGAUGAGUGCUAAGUGUUAGGGGGUUUCCGCCCCCUUAGUGCUGCAGCUAACGCAUUAAGCACUCCGCCUGGGGAGUACGGCCGCAAGGCUG
Molecule: ribosomal RNA, 373 nt
Filed under: uncultured organism
Description: partial 16S ribosomal RNA
Rfam family: Bacterial small subunit ribosomal RNA
Source: RNAcentral